GAGUUUGAUCGUGGCUCAGAUUGAACGCUGGCGGAAUGCUUUACACAUGCAAGUCGAGCGGCAGCGCGGGGCAACCUGGCGGCGAGCGGCGAACGGGUGAGUAAUGCAUCGGAACAUGUCCAAGUCGUGGGGGAUAGCCCGGCGAAAGCCGGAUUAAUACCGCAUGUGCCCGAGAGGGGAAAGUGGGGGACCGCAAGGCCUCACGCGAUUGGGUUGGCCGAUGUCCGAUUAGCUAGUUGGCGGGGUAAGAGCCCACCAAGGCGAUGAUCGGUAGCUGGUCUGAGAGGAUGAUCAGCCACACUGGGACUGAGACACGGCCCAGACUCCUACGGGAGGCAGCAGUGGGGAAUUUUGGACAAUGGGGGAAACCCUGAUCCAGCCAUUCCGCGUGAGUGAAGAAGGCCUUCGGUUGUAAG
RNAcentral lists this ribosomal RNA (416 nucleotides) under uncultured beta proteobacterium. Its description in RNAcentral is "bacterial SSU rRNA". It matches the Rfam family "Bacterial small subunit ribosomal RNA", at positions 9 to 429 of the family's 1533-position model. Lineage: Bacteria; Pseudomonadati; Pseudomonadota; Betaproteobacteria. The record is from RNAcentral.